This 433-nucleotide ribosomal RNA is filed under the name uncultured bacterium. RNAcentral describes it as "partial 16S ribosomal RNA". It matches the Rfam family "Bacterial small subunit ribosomal RNA", at positions 29 to 507 of the family's 1533-position model. The record is from RNAcentral.
AACGAACGCUGGCGGCAUGCCUAACACAUGCAAGUCGAACGAAGGCUUCGGCCUUAGUGGCGCACGGGUGCGUAACGCGUGGGAAUCUGCCCUUUGGUUCGGAAUAACAGCUGGAAACGGCUGCUAAUACCGGAUGAUGACGAAAAUCCAAAGAUUUAUCGCCAGAGGAUGAGCCCGCGUUGGAUUAGGUAGUUGGUGGGGUAAAGGCCUACCAAGCCGACGAUCCAUAGCUGGUCUGAGAGGAUGAUCAGCCACACUGGGACUGAGACACGGCCCAGACUCCUACGGGAGGCAGCAGUGGGGAAUAUUGGACAAUGGGCGCAAGCCUGAUCCAGCAAUGCCGCGUGAGUGAUGAAGGCCCUAGGGUUGUAAAGCUCUUUUACCCGGGAAGAUAAUGACUGUACCGGGAGAAUAAGCCCCGGCUAACUCCGUG